GUCUGUCGCGUCGGCUGUGAAAACCCGAGGCUCAACCUCGGGCCUGCAGUCGAUACGGGCAAACUAGAGUACUGCAGGGGAGACUGGAAUUCCUGGUGUAGCGGUGAAAUGCGCAGAUAUCAGGAGGAACACCGGUGGCGAAGGCGGGUCUCUGGGCAGUAACUGACGCUGAGGAGCGAAAGCGUGGGGAGCGAACAGGAUUAGAUACCCUGGUAGUCCACGCCGUAAACGUUGGGCGCUAGAUGUGGGGCUCAUUCCACGAGUUCCGUGUCGCAGCUAGCGCAUUAAGCGCCCCGCCUGGGGAGUACGGCCGCAGGGCUAAAACUCAAAGGAAUUGACGGGGGCCCGCACAAGCGGCGGAGCAUGUUGCUUAAUUCGAUGCAACGCGAAGAACCUUACCUAGGCUUGACAUGCACGGAAAUCUCCCAGAGAUGGGAGGUCCUUUAAAGGGUCGUGCACAGGUGGUGCAUGAUUGUCGUCAGCUCGUGUCGUGAGAUGUUGGGUUAAGUCCCGCAACGAGCGCAACCCUCGUUCUAUGUUGCCAGCACGUCAUGGUGGGGACUCAUAGGAGACUGCCGGGGUCAACUCGGAGGAAGGUGGGGAUGACGUCAAAUCAUCAUGCCCCUUAUGUCUAGGGCUGCAAACAUGCUACAAUGGCCGGUACAAAGGGCUGCGAUACCGCGAGGUGGAGCGAAUCCCAAAAAGCCGGUCUCAGUUCGGAUUGGGGUCUGCAACUCGACCCCAUGAAGUUGGAGUCGCUAGUA
This 764-nucleotide ribosomal RNA is filed under the name uncultured bacterium. RNAcentral's name for it is "bacterial SSU rRNA". It matches the Rfam family "Bacterial small subunit ribosomal RNA", at positions 578 to 1340 of the family's 1533-position model. The record is from RNAcentral.